Molecule: ribosomal RNA, 340 nt
Filed under: Austramphilina elongata
Lineage: Eukaryota; Metazoa; Platyhelminthes; Cestoda; Amphilinidea; Amphilinidae
Description: eukaryotic LSU rRNA
Rfam family: Eukaryotic large subunit ribosomal RNA
Source: RNAcentral
CGAUWCAACUUGCCUGCAAGUCAUCGGGUUAUACGAAACCCGCCGUGUGGAGGCGCAGUGAAAGUGACUGGGUGUGUGAUCCCGUCGGAAGUUGGAGGCGGGCGCAACACCGGCCCGUUGCAUGGCGUGUCUGUUGUGCCUGUGUGUGACUGUGUGUAUGCAUGCAUGCAUGCAUGCGCAGACGCAGAUGGCCGACAGUGGUCUCGGUGACCGAGCACGAGCAGGCAGGUUGAGACCCGAAAGAUGGUGAACUAUGCUUGCGCAGGUUGAAGCCAGAGGAAACUCUGGUGGAGGACCGCAGCGAUUCUGACGUGCAAAUCGAWCGUCAAACGUGAGUAUA